This is an RNA transcript of Carassius carassius (crucian carp), 2238 nucleotides long. It is a transcript of the gene named tyrosine-protein kinase Blk-like, with no coding region annotated. The transcript has 14 exons. NCBI's taxonomy places the organism in Eukaryota, Metazoa, Chordata, Actinopteri, Cypriniformes, Cyprinidae. The record is from RefSeq and is a predicted model, not a curated record.
UUAAAAAUGUUUUUAUUCAGCACCCAAAUUGAUGCCUUUCUGGACCUUUCUGGGUUUCUUCUGGACUAUUACUGAACUCCGAGCAGAGAACUGGGGAGACUGACAGCCGUGAAUAUAGGAUGGGUUGUGCUUGUAGUGACCAGAAACAUCGCAAAGACUCUAAAGGGCAUGAACAUAAUAAUUCAUCAAACUCUAACCACUUUCAUUUGUCAAGAGAUCACAGGAAGCAGAGCAACAGUCUAGAUGAAGAUAUUGUCAUUGCUCAAUAUGACUUCCAGCCUGCUAGUGAUAAUGAUCUACAGUUCAAAAAAGGAGACAGACUCAAGAUUAUUAAAGAGACUGGUGAAUGGUGGUUGGCGAAGUCCUUGGUCACUGGUUAUGAGGGAUAUAUUCCGUCUACAUAUGUGGCAAGAGCACACACGAUGGAGGUGGAGAGAUGGUUUUUCAAGGACAUGAGUCGGAGAGACACAGAACGUUUUCUGCUGGCACCAGGAAACAAACCUGGAGCAUUUCUUGUGAGAGAAAGUGAAACAACCAAAGGUGCUUUCUCUCUGUCUAUAAGAGACUCUACCCCAGAGCAUGGUGAUGUAGUCAAGCAUUAUAAGAUCCGAGGCCUUGAUAACGGUGGUUUCUACAUCUCUCCCUCCACAACCUUUUCUUCUCUUCAGGAACUAGUAAAAUAUUACUCCAGGACAGCAGAUGGUUUAUGCCAGAAGCUAGGAAGUCCGUGUAAAACUGCUUCCCCUCAGAGACCCUGGGCUCAAGAUGAGUGGGAGAUUCCCAGAGAGACUCUGAAAAUGGUGAAAAAACUGGGUGCCGGUCAGUUUGGAGAAGUGUGGAUGGGGUACUACAAAAACUCCCAGAAAGUUGCCAUCAAGACUUUAAAGGAAGGCACCAUGGAGCCAGAGGCAUUCCUUCAGGAGGCUAAUCUGAUGAAGAAGCUCCAGCACGAGAGACUGGUCAAACUGCAUGCUGUAGUCACCAAAGAACCCAUAUAUAUUGUCACAGAAUACAUGGCUAAUGGAAGCUUGUUAGACUUUCUGAAGACGGAAGAUGGCCACAAAUUAAAACUUCCCAAGCUGAUUGAUAUGACUGCUCAAAUUGCAGAGGGAAUGGCUUUCAUCGAAAGGAAAAAUUACAUUCACAGAGACCUGCGUGCCGCUAAUAUUCUAGUCUCUGAGACCCUGCACUGUAAAAUAGCAGACUUUGGCCUUGCCAGGAUCAUAGAAUCUGAAUACACUGCACAAGAAGGUGCAAAGUUCCCUAUUAAAUGGACGGCCCCUGAGGCCAUCAACUUUGGUACUUUCACCAUCAAGUCAGACGUGUGGUCCUUUGGAGUUCUUUUGACAGAGAUUGUCACGUACGGCAGAGUGCCAUAUCCAGGCAUGACGAAUCCAGAGGUGAUCCGUAACCUUGACAGGGACUACAGGAUGCCGUGUCCAGAUGGAUGUCCAGAGGAGCUUUAUGACAUCAUGCUGAAGUGCUGGAGGGAUAGGCCAGAGGACAGGCCCACCUUUGACCACCUACAGGACGUACUCAAUGACUUUUUCAUUGCUACAGAGGGCCAGUACGAGAUGCAACCAUGACCUCAAUGCAGCACCAAUAGAUGAACUGAAAAGGGGAUGCACAAAAACAUAUGGAAUGAUAGGAUGGACUAAACUCCGGAUCAAAGUAUGGAUUAUGGGGAAUAUACUAAAGGAACAAUAAUGAAUCCCUGUAUAUCAGUAAAUAAUUUUUUACAUUUACUGUAUGCCAGUUUUGUCAAGAUUUUUUUCUUAGAUUUGUUUUAUCUUGUGGGCUUCUUAGGGUAUUUCAUAAUUUUUUUAAAGAUAACUAAGAACGCAACCAACACCCAAGAGCUGCUCCUGUGGUUUCCUGCCUGCCUGUAUGCAACUGAAACAGGAAGCAGUGAGUCAGCAUUCCUAUCAAGAUAAGCACUCUAUGGCUCGGAAUUCCAAACAUGCUGCUGAAGGUUUUCUCAGCAUUCAUAGAAAAUCAAAGGUUUCCAUUUAAGCAAAAUAUUUCUGGGAAGUGCAUGCUGAAACCAAGUUUUGAUUCAUCAGUGCUCUCAAGCUGUGUUAAUGAUACAGGAGGUACUUAUGCAAGCUUAUUUGAUAUCUGUUCAUAUAGUAAGGAAUGUUCAUUUGAUGGAAUGAUGAUAUUUAACAGAAGUUGAUGAAUUAACUUGCUUAUCACUGACAUUAGUGGCUUUGUUGACUGUGGCAGUGGAAAUGAAUC